Hyaloscypha bicolor E is the source of this 157-nucleotide non-coding RNA. NCBI's taxonomy places the organism in Eukaryota, Fungi, Ascomycota, Leotiomycetes, Helotiales, Hyaloscyphaceae. The record is from the annotation of a RefSeq genome assembly.
UUCUAGGUGGCUCAGUUGGUUAGAGCGUUGGUCUCAUACUCAGUAUGAUUAAGCUGAUCACAGUUUGGCCAUCCAAAGGGUAUGCAUCACCAGUUCUUACCACAAAACAAACCACUAAUCAUCAUUGCAGUCGAGAGUUCGAGUCUCUCCGAGGACA